This 474-nucleotide ribosomal RNA is filed under the name Sphaerotilus sp. BV-1. Its description in RNAcentral is "bacterial SSU rRNA". It matches the Rfam family "Bacterial small subunit ribosomal RNA", at positions 58 to 533 of the family's 1533-position model. The record is from RNAcentral. Lineage: Bacteria; Pseudomonadati; Pseudomonadota; Betaproteobacteria; Burkholderiales; Sphaerotilaceae.
CAAGUCGAACGGUAGAGGGGCAACCCUUGAGAGUGGCGAACGGGUGAGUAAUACAUCGGAACGUGCCCAGUCGUGGGGGAUAACGUAGCGAAAGCUACGCUAAUACCGCAUACGACCUGAGGGUGAAAGCGGGGGAUCGCAAGACCUCGCGCGAUUGGAGCGGCCGAUGGCAGAUUAGGUAGUUGGUGGGGUAAAGGCCUACCAAGCCUGCGAUCUGUAGCUGGUCUGAGAGGACGACCAGCCACACUGGGACUGAGACACGGCCCAGACUCCUACGGGAGGCAGCAGUGGGGAAUUUUGGACAAUGGGCGAAAGCCUGAUCCAGCCAUACCGCGUGCGGGAAGAAGGCCUUCGGGUUGUAAACCGCUUUUGUCAGGGAAGAAAUCUUCUGGGCUAAUACCUCGGGAGGAUGACGGUACCUGAAGAAUAAGCACCGGCUAACUACGUGCCAGCAGCCGCGGUAAUACGUAGGGU